ACAGCAGUCGCCGCGGGAACACGGAGGGAGCUAGCGUUGUUCGGAAUUACUGGGCGUAAAGCGCACGUAGGCGGUUAUUCAAGUCAGAGGUGAAAGCCCGGGGCUCAACCCCGGAACUGCCUUUGAAACUAGAUGACUAGAAUCUUGGAGAGGUCAGUGGAAUUCCGAGUGUAGAGGUGAAAUUCGUAGAUAUUCGGAAGAACACCAGAGGCGAAGGCGACCGACUGGACAAGUAUUGACGCUGAGGUGCGAAAGCGUGGGGAGCAAACAGGAUUAGAUACCCCCGUAGUCCCUGUCUCUUAUAC
This 305-nucleotide ribosomal RNA is filed under the name uncultured bacterium. RNAcentral describes it as "partial 16S ribosomal RNA". It matches the Rfam family "Bacterial small subunit ribosomal RNA", at positions 508 to 807 of the family's 1533-position model. The record is from RNAcentral.